CUACUUUCAUUUCAAUAAAAAUAUAAGAAUUAUUCAUUAUUUUUCUUCCCUAAUCCUUUAUAUGGUAUCAGAGUUAGAGUUAGGGUUUGGGUUAGAGUUUUAGGGGUCAAAUUACAUCAGAAGAAGGGUUAAACAACCCAUUCUCAGCGCCGGAGAAAGACAACCACCGAUCUCUGGCCAGUUCAAAAUGCGGCUAGUGCGGUGAUGUACGCGAGAGAAGUCGAGGAAGUGAUUCGCACGGCGAUUUGAGGUUGCAUGCGGCUUGAUUGCCGGAGAAGAGCAUUCCCGUGCGUGUUGGGUUCCCAUUCAAGGAUAGAAGUAACAGAGGAGCUCGGUCAUUCGGUUCUAUGCACGAAACUAGAAGGCCGAAGAUGGAAAAGGCGCGGCGGAGCAGCUUGCGCGACAGCAAGUGAUUCUCCACUCUCUGGUACGAUUAGGGCCUUUUUGUGAGCAUCAUUCCGGAUUAGGGCUGGCAUUGAAGUUCUAUGGUGAUUUCCGGUCGAAAGGAGGCUGUUUAGUGGUUGUAGGCAGCGGCGUGUGUAACUCUGGUGGCGACACGUGGCUCUCCGGUGGUGGCGCAUGUAGCGGCGCAGGUCCUCUGGUGGUUAAUAGUGAGGUCCUAGUAGGGUUGUUGAUGCCCGUGCGUGAAGAAGUGCUCUGUUUUCUUAAAUUUUCCAUUAUAUUUGUAGUGUUUUACGGGUAUCUCUAACUAUUAUGUUUUGGGUAUUCUGAGUGGCGUAUAAUAAGGGCAUAUAAAACAGUACUGUAAGAAAUUGUAGAAUCUGAAUCGGAGGACACAGACUGCUAAUAUUGUUGCUGCUACUGCUAGCUCAUAUUCUGAAAGAACUGUUAUGAUUUUAGCUAAUAAAUAUGCUAAAUUCACUCAAUAUCAGAAAUUUUUAAAUAAAUUUUUUACUCUUAUUGAACCAGAGAAAAAAUGUCUUAUCUCCUCCUCAAACAGAUGAGUGAUUGAUUCUGGUGCUAUAGAUCAUAUGACAGGUAUUUUUAAUAUUUUUUUUAGUUUUCGAUCAUACAAAGUACUUUUUCCUGUAACUGUAGCUGAUGGGUCGACAUAUAAUAUUGUGGGUUCAGCGACCACAAAACCAACAUUAUCUAUUAUUUUGUCAUCUGUAUUAAGUUUACCUAAACUUGAUUUCAAUAUGAUUUAUGUGAGUAAACUUACUAAAGAUUUAAAUUGUUAUAUUACAUUUUUUCCUAAUCACUGUGUUUUUUAAGAUUUUAUGAUGAAACAAAUUAUUGGUAAAGGAAAUAUAUCAGAUGAUCUUUACAUUCUUGAUACUUAGGUACCUCAAUUAGUUACUGUAAGAAGCUUUGGACAUGACUCUAAUCUCGUGAAGGUUUAAUGGAGAAGAAGAAGAAGAAGAAAACAGAGAAGAUGAAGAACGAUAAAGGGAGAAAGUAGAAAACUUUUUUAUUGAUUUAUGAUAUGCUUACAAUCGAUGGAAGGGGACCCUUUUUAUAGCCUAAAUACAUUAAAUAAAAUCAUUAUUCAAGGCGGAAUCAAGCUUGCUGGAGUUGCACGACUGGAAUCGCGUGAUAAUGAUGAUCGACGUCGUCUACGGAAUGGAUUUGGAAGGCAAAGGCGUCGACUGUGAAUCCUGUUAGGGUUGGUCAACCCUAAUCCCAGUUGUUCUGCAUUUUUGUUAUUAUGCCCUUUUGUGUGUGUAUUUCCUUUUUUACCCUUCUUUCUGUAAUAAACCUUGAGGGGUUUCUAGACAAUACCCUCGCCUAGAACAGUAACCUUGUCCUCAAGGUUGAGAUGCAGAAAUUGGUGUUAUAAAUACUCAUAAUCUUCCCAUGUGCAUUCUUUGGUUGGAGCUCCUUUCUAACGGAUAAGGACUUGAUUUACGAGUUGAUUACCCCAUAAUAUAGUUCUAUGUUGUAAGAUUUAUUGGGGUUGUACACUGAUGAAGUCUUCCGUGGUCUGUGAGGCUAAAGUCUUGUUGUGUAUUUCUUGAGUUGGGACACGUGAAAAACUGGGUGAAUCCUUGAUUCUUCGGUUAAUAGGAGCUUGCAUGCUACAUUCUCAAUUUUCUGAGAGGCUUGGAAUGGUCCAUAGUAUCGGAUGGAUAAUUUGGAGUCUCGUCCUUCUUGAGUGUUUCUUGUUUGAAAGACUGUAGUUCGAGCAAUACCCAGUCAUCUACUUCAAAACUUCUCUCACUUUGAUGAUUCUCCGCAUAUUGCUUGAUUUUGGCUUGUGCCUGUAAGAGCUGUUGUCGUAUGGUCUUGUUGGCUUCUUCGCAUUCCGCUAGGACCAUCUCUACGGAAGGUAAUGCAGAGUCGAAUUCUAUGGAGUUGGAGAAAUGUGGAGGUGGGUAUCCGUAGAGUGCUUGGAAAGGUGUCAUCUUCAAACUUGAAUGGUAUGAAGUGUUAUACCAUCAUUCAAUCAUAGUUAUUAACCAUUUGACGCAAGUCUUCGGUUGUUAGUUAGCUAGCUAUACAUCGUAGGUACAUUUUCAGACCUUGAUUGAGCUUUUCUAUUUGUUCGUCAGUCUGGGGGUGAUAUGCGAUACUGAAGAGGAAAUUUGUUCCAAUUGUCUUCAUUAGUUCCUUCCAGAAUAAACUGGUGAAUAUUUUAUCUCGGUCAGUUACUAUGACCUGUGGAACCCCGUGUAGCUUGUGUACCAUCUUCAUGUAACUUCGUGCUACUUCGGCUGUAGUGAAGGAAUGUCGCAAAGGAAUGAAAUGCACAUACUUGGUGAAACGGUCCAUUACCACUAAUAUAGCGUCCUUGCCCUCUUAUUUGGGCAAUUGUUCAAUGAAGUUCAUGGAUAUGUGGGUUCAGGCGUGUGGUGGAACAAGUAGUGGUUGCAGUAAUCCAGGAGUGGAAACUCGUUCUAUUUUGCAGCAUUGACAGAUAUCACAUUGUUAGACUCGCUGUAAAAUUUGUUUCUUUAUAGUAAGCCAAUAAAACUGUUGUUUGACCCUCUCAUAAGUAGCUCGAACUCUAGAGUGAUCCCGUACUGCUGAAUUGUGGCAUUGAUAAAGCAGUUGGUUGUGAAGUUCCUUUUUGUCACCCAUGACCAACCUCUGUUUGCAUCUCAAUAUGCCCUGUUGUAGGGAAAAAAGUUAUAUGCUAUUAGGGAAAAAAUUAUAUGCUAUUAGGAGAAACCAUUAGUUCUGAUAGCAGUUGUUGAGUGAAGGGAUCAUUGGGGUAACUGUCACUUUUUUCCACCAUCCAAGCAGGUAUGGAUGUGGAGAGGGUGUAUAAGAUUUCCGCUUCAGGGUCAUGGGCAUCCCUCCUUGAAAGAGCAUUUGUUACCUUGUUCGACGACCCUUGUUUGUAUUGGAUUGUGUAAUUCUAGCCCAAUAGCUUCAAGAUGCCAUUUUGUUGUACCAUGAAGGAAACUCUUUGAUCUAACAAGUACUUUAAACUACGUUGAUCCGUUCUGAUGACGAAUGAGGUUCCUUCUAAAUAGUGCUGCCAUUGUCCUACGGCAUAGAGAACGACCAUCAGUUCCUUCUCAUAUAUUGACUUUGUCUGAUUCUUGGGACUGAGGGCCUUGCUUAUGAAAGCUAUAGGUUGAUUUUCUUGCAUCAGGACCGCUCCAAUUCCCUUGUUGCUUGCAUCUGUCUUAAAAGUAAAAGGAUCUCCGAAUUGAGGUAGUCGUAGGACCGAGCUGGAAGUCAUAGCUGUCUUUAACAAUUGAAAAGCUUGCUCCGCUUCUGAAUUCCAUUCAAAGACACCAUUUUUUAACAAAUUGGUGAGACGUUAGACGAUGAUUCCGUAAUUUUAUAUCAAUUUGCGGUACUAUCCUGUUAAGCACAGAAAACCUCUAAAAACCUUAAUCGUCCGAGGAGUGGACCAGUUGAUCAUAGCUUCAAUCUUUCGCGAGUCUGUUUUUACCUCUCGACCUGAGAUGAUAUGCCCUAGAUACUUCACCUUUGUCUAAAAGAAAUAACUCUUGGAUUGCUUUGCAUACAACCUGUUAUCUCGGAGUGUCUUUAGAACUUCGUUUAGAUGAAUAAGGUGCUCCUUCUCAGUGAUAGUAUAAACUAAGAUGUCAUCAAAGAAGACCAAUACAAAUAUUCGGAGAAAAGCUUUGAAUAUGUGAUUCAUGAGAGCCUGGAAGAUAGUGGGGGCGUUGGUCAAGCCGAAAGGUAUCACCUUGAAUUCAUAAUGAUCCUAAUGUGUUAUAAAUGCCGUUUUGUGGAUGUCUUCCUCAUCGACCCUAAUGUUAUGAUAUCUUGCUCUAAGAUCAAUUUUAGAGAAAAUAUGUGCUCCAUAUAAUUCAUCAAUAAGAUCAUCAAUGAUGGGUAUGGGGAACUUACUUUUUACGGUCAAAGAGUUUAGUUCUUUAUAUUCCACGCAAAACCUCCAUGUACAAUCUUUCUUUUUGACAAGCAGUACCGUUGUAGAGAAUGGGCUACAGCUGGGCCAUAUUAAUGAGUCCUUCAACAUUUGUUGUAUUUGCUUUUCUAUUUCGUUCUUCUGAUUGAACAAAUACCUAUAGGGUCGAAUAUUCAUGGCAACAUUAUGUUUGGACAAGGUGAUGACGUGAUCAAAGGCUUUGGCCGGUGGCUAGCCAUGGGGUUCCUAAAAGACAUCCUAAUAUUGUCUAAGUAGUGCUUCUAGUGCUAGGAUGGGCAUCUCGGAAGUAGAUACCUUCUAUAAAACUUCCAUUAUUAGAAAUACUGUUCCACAUUCGACCGCUUGCUUAUGUUUGACCCAAUGUUUCACCUUUAUUUCUCUUGUCUUGAAUGUUUCCCGGAAGUCACAACUCUGUAAUAAUAUUUGUAAUUUUUAUAAUUGAAUCGUAUCGUUGCAUGGAGGAAGUCAAACAGCAUAGUCAAACAUCAUUGGGCCGAAUUGUUUCAUCUAGUCGAUCCUUAAUAUCAUUUCAUACCCUCUCAGUGAAAUGAUGCAGACAUUGUAGUUGAACUUGUAGCCUUGCAUGGUCCACAUCACAUCUGGACAUUCAAAGUGAUUAGAUAUUUUUUGCCCGUUUGCAACCAUAAGUGUUAAGGGUUUACUGCUGACCACCUGAUUCUUGAUCCAUUUAGAAUCUCCUUCGUCUAGGAAGGGAUGUGAGCUUUCACUAUCCAGUAGGAUCAACACAUCAUGAUUUGAUAAUUUUCCUCGUAUUUUCAAGGUGCUCCCUGUGGUGACCCCUUCUAUUGCUUGUAGAGGCAGAGUGCCAGUAAGGCCAUCGCUAACCUCUUUAGCUUCCUCAAGGCAGUGGGAUUGGCAGCAAAAAGAACUUCAAACCCUUGUCUUCCUGCAUCUGCGACAUACGGGAAAGGAAGAAGACCUUCACCCGAAUGGGUCUUGGCUUCCUUUGGCCUGGUCGGCAAUUUCGCUUCAGAGCAGCUCAAGUAUCACACUGAGCUGUCAGCAUGAUUCAUUCAUGAAUGCUGAUAGCUUUAAAUCGACUUCUUUUAUGGUAAGUGAUUUGAGAUUUUCUAGUUCAGUCAUCGGGGCCUUCCCCUUCGACCGUGUUCGAGUGGCGAUACCGGUGUAUGAUUCAGCCGGUUUUAGUUCUGAUACCAUCUUGUCAGAAGUCUUAGGCAUGACUCUGAUCUUAUCAAGGUUUAAUGAAGAAGAAAAUAGAGAAGAUGAAGAACGAUAAAGGGAGAAAGUAGAAGAUUUUUUUAUUGAUUUCUGAUGUACUUACAAUCGAUGGAAGGGACCUUUUUUAUAGGCCUAAAUACAUUAAAUAAAAUCAUUAUUUAAGGCGGAAUCAAGAUUGCUGGAGUUGCGCGGUCGGAAUUGCGUGAUGAUGAUGGUCGGCAUCGUCUACGGAAUGAAUUUGGAAGGCAGAGGCAUCGACUGUGGAAUCUUGUUAAGGUUGGUCAACCCUAAUCCCAGUUGUUUUAAGUUUUUCCUAUUCUGCCCUUUUGUGUGUAUAUUUUCUUUUUUUAUCAUUCUUUCUAUAAUAAACCCUAAGGGGUUUUCUGAAAGUUGUCUGCUAUAAUAUUACCUCUCCAUUUAAAACACAUUGUCAAUUGGGACAUCCAUCUCUACCUGUGUUUAAAAAAUUAUGUCAUCAGUUUCAUGAUGUAUCCUCAUUGAAUUGUGAGUCACAUCGGUUUGCAAAACAUCACUGUAGUUCAUCAGGUUCAAGGAUCAAUAGACGAGGUGAGUCUGCUUUUGAGUUAGUUCAUAUGAUGUUUGGGGCCUCUUGUCCUGUUCUGUCCAAAACUGGGUUCAAGUAUUUCAUUACCUUUAUGGAUGAUUUUUCUCACAUGACUUGAAUAUAUUUUAUGAAGAAUCAUUCGAAAGUAUUUUUUCACUUUUGUGUUUUCUGUACUGAAGUUAAAAUACAAUUCAAUGUUUCUGUGUAUGUAUUGAGAAGUGAUAAUGUCAAAAAAUAUAUAUCAGAUUCAUUUCAGAACUAUAUGACUCAACGCGGGAUCCUUCACCAAUCCUUGUGCGUUGAUAUACCAUCUCAAAAUGUAAUCGCUGAGAGAAAGAACAGACAUUUACCGGAGACAACUCGAACCCUCUUGUUCCAAACAUAAAUCCCUAAUCUUCUUUUUCCAUACAACUCUUUGUUUCCGAUGCAACGUACGAUAUUUGGUAGCACCUGUUAUGCUCGAGAUGUGCGACCUACUGUGACAAAAUUGGACUCAAAAGUCUUAAAGUGUGUAUUUUUUAGAUAUUCUCGCGUGCAGAAAAGAUACAGGUGCUACUUUCCAAAUCUCAAUAAAUAUUUAAUAUCAACUGAUGUGAUUUUUUUAGAGAAUAUACCGUUCUUCUCCUUAUUGUCCAAGUCUACAAGUCAGGAGGCGGACGACGAGUAACUUAUCUAUAGUUUCACAUUAGGUGCUUUUACUGAGCAAACAGAUAAAAGUAUUCCUCCAUAUGAUGUGUCUCCAGCUCUACUUGAGUAAGUUGAGGAUAGUAUUCGUAUACCUCUAAUCCAAAUAUCACCACCAAUUGUUUAUAUUUAUUUCAGAAGACAACAAACUGAUGAAAAAUGUCCUGCACCAGAUCCGUCGUCAUCUGAUUCUGCUGCACAUAACCUUGAUCUUCGUAAAGGUAAAUGUCUGUGCACCAUUCCUACGCCAACUUAUCCUAUUGCUAAUUUUAUAUCUAAUGACCAUAUGUCUUAUUUGUCUUGUGUUUUAAUUGCUUUUAUAGAUUCAACCUCUAUGUUCAAGACAGUAUCUGAAUCACCCUGAUUGGCAUAAUACUAUGCUUGAGGAGAUAAACGCUUUGAUGAUAAUCAUACCUGGGAUCUGGUAGAUUUACUUAAAGGAAAAAAGGUUAUAAGGUGCAAAUGAAUAUUUACAAUUAAAGUGAAUCUAGAUUGCUCUAUGGCAAGACUUAAAGCUCGACUGGUAGCGAAAGGUUAUACUCAGACUUAUAGAAUGGACUAUUCUGAUAUAUUCUCUCCAGUAGCCAAACUUGUCUCUAUUCAUUUAUUCAUAUAUAUUACAGCCUCCCAAAAUCAUUCCUUACACUAGGUAAAUAUUAAAAAUGCAUUUUUUCAUGGUGAUCUCUUAGAAGAAGUAUAUAUGGAGUGACCACUUGGGUUUAUUACUCAGGGGGAGUACGGGAAAGUCUGUCAUUUGAAGAAAUUUUUGUAUGGUCUGAAGCAGAGUUCUUGUGCGUGGUUUAAUAAGUUUAGUGAGGUAAUAUGUGAGUUCGGAUUGAAGAAUAGUAAGUGUGAUCAUUCAGUCUUCUAUAGACAAUAAACAGGUAUUAUUAUACUUUUUAUUGUUUAUAUUGAUGAUAUUGUGAUUACAGAAGAUGACUAUAUAAGAAUAUCUUCUCUUAAGUCAUUCUUGCAUACCAAACUCAAUACCAAAGACUUGGGAUAAGUAAAAUACCUUUUGGGAGUUGAAGUAAUAAGAAAUAAAGAAAGAAUUCUGUUAUCUUAGAGAAAAUAUAUACUUGAUCUACUUGCAGAAACAGUAAAGCUGAGAGCUAAGUCAUGCAGUAUACUAAUGGUACCAAAUGUACAUCUUACAAAAGAUAAUAGUGAUUUCCUUGAUGAUUCAAAGAAAUACAGGUGACUAGUUGGGAAA
Non-coding RNA from Carica papaya (papaya), 7995 nucleotides. The record is from RefSeq and is a predicted model, not a curated record. Lineage: Eukaryota; Viridiplantae; Streptophyta; Magnoliopsida; Brassicales; Caricaceae.